Eucalyptus grandis is the source of this 2097-nucleotide RNA transcript. It is a transcript of the gene named G-type lectin S-receptor-like serine/threonine-protein kinase At1g61480, with no coding region annotated. The transcript is spliced from 7 exons. The record is from RefSeq and is a predicted model, not a curated record. NCBI's taxonomy places the organism in Eukaryota, Viridiplantae, Streptophyta, Magnoliopsida, Myrtales, Myrtaceae.
GGCCAAUAGGGAACGGCCGCUUGCGUACACGGAUCAGUCUGCAAAAUUAACGAUAGGCAGUGAUGGGAAUUUGAAGCUCAUGGAUGGACAAGAAAAUAUAGUUUGGUCUACCAAUGUCUAUAGUCGGUCCAAUUACACGUCGGCGGUGCUAUUAGAUAGUGGGAAUUUUGUUCUGCAAGAUGGCAAUUAUGGCGAAAUAUGGGGAAGCUUCGAGGAUCCGACAGACACUCUUCUUCCAACAAUGGAGGUAGGAUUAAAUGUCAGGACUGGAGUGAAAAAGUCUUUAAUUUCCUGGAGAAGCGACAGUGAUCCAUUCCCUGGAAGUUUCUCGACUGGAAUGACAUCCGGGACGCCGCCUCAACCUUUCACUUGGAAUGGUUCGACUCCUUACUGGAGAGGUGGGCAAUGGGACAAAUCGAAAUUUAUUGGCAUACCAAACAUGGACCAAUCAUACAAGACUGGCUUCACUGUCCAGCAGGAUCCUCAGCAGGGAACCACUUACUAUUCGAUAAAUAGAUACGAUAUCUUUCUAUACAUGUUCAUUUCUCCCAGAGGAUCUCUCACGAUAAUGCGCUGGGAUGAUGGAGCUAAGGUAUGGUUGAUGGAGUGGGCAGCACCGAACAAUACUUGUGAGAUUUAUGGAACUUGUGGUCCAUUUGGAGUUUGUAACUCAUUGAAUUCGCCUAUUUGCAGAUGCAUAGAUGGGUUUGUGCCAAAGUCAAAUGAAGAAUGGAACGGUGGAAACUGGAUCAGAGGAUGUGUAAGAGAGAUGGAAUUGAAUUGCCAGAAAACACAAGCACAUCGAUUUCUACAAAUGUAAAGAAAGAUGCAUUUUGGCAAAUGAGCCAGAUGAAACUACCCGACUCUGGGGACUAUGUAUCAGACGUUGAAGAUGAAGAAGGAUGUGAAAGCUGGUGCCGGAGCAAUUGUUCUUGCUUGGCUUAUUCUUACGUCAGCACCAUUGGGUGUAUGGUUUGGAGUAAAGACCUCAUUGAUCUUGAGGAAUUUCCCACAGCUGGGGAAGAUCUAUUUGUUCGAGUCGCACAUAUAAAAGCAGGAGGAUCGCGACACAGAGCAGUUAUCAUCAGCCUGAGUACUAUUGCAGGGAUUAUGUUCUUUGCAGUAUUUGUUUUUGUUCUUUGCAAAUGGAGAGCUAACAAAACAGGAAACUUGAGCAAAAUUCGAAGGCUCCUUGAUUCAGUAGAUACACUGGAAAAAUCGACUGAGCCGACACAAGGAAAUGCAUGGCAAGAGCAGUUGAAGCAAGAUGAUUUGCCAGAAUUGACCCUUUAUAGUUUUGAUAGCAUACUGCUUGCUACAAACAAGUUCAGCACGACAAGUAAACUUGGGCAAGGAGGGUUUGGCUCUGUUUAUAAGGGGAAGCUGAAAGAUGGGAAAGAGGUAGGUGUGAAAAGACUUUCCAGUGCCUCAGCCCAAGGCGUUGAAGAGUUCAAGAAUGAGAUCAUCCUUAUAUCGAAACUCCAACAUCGAAAUCUUGUUAAACUCAUGGGUUACUGCAUUGAAGGAGAAGAAAAGAUUUUGGUAUAUGAGUACUUGUCGAAUAAAAGCUUGGACACCUUUCUUUUUGAUUCAAGAAAGAAGGCAGAACUUGACUGGGGCAAACGAUUUCAAAUAAUUCAGGGGAUUGCAAGGGGCUGCUCUACCUCCAUCGAGAUUCUUGCCUUAGGGUCAUACAUCGAGACUUGAAAUGGUUAUAUGUCUCUUGAGUAUGCCAUGGGUAGAAUAUUUUCCGAGAGGUCUGAUGUCUAUAGCUUCGGAGUGUUGCUAUUGGAGAUAGUAAGCGGCAAAAAGAACACGUCCCUGUAUGACCAGGGAUAUCUGAAUCUUCUUUCCUACGCAUGGCAAUUGUGGAGUGAUGGCAAAGCAUUGGACCUAAUGGAUGUAGCAAUGGUUGUUAGCUCUCCUUUGGAGAUAACAAGAUGCAUCCAUGUUGGGCUUCUCUGUGUUCAGGACCAUGCCACGGAUAGACCAAACAUGUCGAAUGUGGUUUUGAUGUUAAGUGGUGAGUCGAGAUCUUCCUCGGCCGAGGCAGCCUAUGUUCACUUUCCAAUCUGAAAUGCCAAAUCGUUCUAUUCC